GGAUUAGUAAGUUGGUCGUGCCUUUGGUAUGUACUUGGCUUCACUGAUUCCUCCUUCUUGAAGAACUGUAAUGCCAUUAAUUUGGUGUUGCAGGGACACAGGACUGUUACUUUGAAAAAAUUAGAGUGUUUAAAGCAGGCCAAAGCCUGAAUACAUUAGCAUGGAAUAAUGAAAUAGGACGUUUGAUCCUAUUUUGUUGGUUUCUAGGAUUGACGUAAUG
RNAcentral lists this ribosomal RNA (220 nucleotides) under uncultured fungus. RNAcentral's name for it is "partial 18S ribosomal RNA". It matches the Rfam family "Eukaryotic small subunit ribosomal RNA", at positions 668 to 867 of the family's 1831-position model. The record is from RNAcentral. Lineage: Eukaryota; Fungi.